Molecule: long non-coding RNA, 1060 nt
Organism: Magnolia sinica
Lineage: Eukaryota; Viridiplantae; Streptophyta; Magnoliopsida; Magnoliales; Magnoliaceae
Exons: 3
Source: RefSeq, a predicted model, not a curated record
AAUCUUUACUUGACUCAACCCAUACCUAAUAAUUAAUUUAAUUAUUUUGUAAAUAUUAUUACACAGUUGUGUGAGGAUAAAUAAUAAACAAAUUGAAGAAACUUCAAACAGCCAGCACUUGCAAAAGCUGGUUUGAUAUGGUAGAUAAUAGCAGAGAACUUAAUCUCAUUCUUUUUCUUAUAUAUUUCGAUAUUUAUUCUUUAAAUGUUUAUGCUUAUGAUUCUUUGUUAACUGACAUUGUUAAUUAGUAUUUAGGCCAAUAUGCUUGCCCUGUUUGUUAAUUAGUAAUUGGUAGUUAGGCCAUCAUAGCACCAUGACUCACUGAGUUAACUGAUCACUGAGUCAAAGUGUUUUCUUUUAAAUUUGGAGUUGGGUUCAAAGAGUAAAAGACCCCAUUGCUGCCAAUGGUAGCAAUUAGCAUUUAUAGCUGCACGGUGGACACCAAAACAGAGAGUCACUUUUAGAAAAGGUAAAACACCUUUAGCAUUUAGGUGAGGCUGGAUGUAGAGGACAUUGAAGCUUCUGUCAAAGCUCUUUAUCUAUGCAUUUAGUAAUCAGAUGUCCACAUUUUAUGUAAAUUCCAUGCCCACAAUAUGCUCGACUAUUUGACUGAUACUUUUUUUUCUUUCUUUCUCUAUAAAGCUUAUGCUAGAGCAGAGUAGGCACUAGCUCAAAUAAAUAAUGAGUUCAAUUCAGCUAUUGCACAUUGAGCACACAUGCCAUUUUGAGCUGGUUUGAUGGAGAAAUCAGAGAAUAUUACCCUGUACAAAUUUGAUACCUGGUCUGUUUUUCAUCACCGAAUCCCCCGGUGGCUGGUGAGUCUUAUUAGUAAACACCUUAACAAGUGCUGGGAUUCGGUGUCUAGGCCAAAAUGGGUAUGACGGACGAGUUCGAAUCUUCUUUGCAAGUACUACAGGGAUUUGAUACUGACAUUUCUUUUAAAGUGAAUGAAAUCAAGAUUUCAUGUGUAUACAAAUCCAACCCAUUCAAAGGUGAUCGAGACUAUGGUAAUCAUACUCCAAAACUUCUAUAUUCAUAUACUCAUCAGGUGGGCCAUUCA